CUGUCUAUUUUUUAUACAAACAUUCCCGGUUCGCUGUUACGCGCCCGGUAUUGUGAAAAAAACAUGCUGCGCUUGCGUCGUCUGCAUUUACUUACUAAAACUUAUGGGUAGUAUGUACGCCGGCUGAUUUCCUAUCGUUUGGGAA
This 145-nucleotide small RNA is filed under the name Pseudomonas sp. SJZ079. RNAcentral describes it as "Pseudomonas sRNA P14". It matches the Rfam family "Pseudomonas sRNA P14". Lineage: Bacteria; Pseudomonadati; Pseudomonadota; Gammaproteobacteria; Pseudomonadales; Pseudomonadaceae. The record is from RNAcentral.